GGGUUGUGAGGUUAAGCGACUAAGCGUACACGGUGGAUGCCCUGGCAGUCAGAGGCGAUGAAGGGCGUGCUAAUCUGCGAUAAGCGCCGGUAAGGUGAUAUGAACCGUUAUAACCGGCGAUACCCGAAUGGGGAAACCCAGUGUGAUUCGUCACACUAUCAUUAACUGAAUCCAUAGGUUAAUGAGGCGAACCGGGGGAACUGAAACAUCUAAGUACCCCGAGGAAAAGAAAUCAACCGAGAUUCCCCCAGUAGCGGCGAGCGAACGGGGAGGAGCCCAGAGCCUGAAUCAGCAUGUGUGUUAGUGGAAGCGUCUGGAAAGGCGCGCGAUACAGGGUGACAGCCCCGUACACAAAAGCGCAUGUGCUGUGAGCUCGAUGAGUAGGGCGGGACACGUGGUAUCCUGUCUGAAUAUGGGGGGACCAUCCUCCAAGGCUAAAUACUCCUGACUGACCGAUAGUGAACCAGUACCGUGAGGGAAAGGCGAAAAGAACCCCGGCGAGGGGAGUGAAAAAGAACCUGAAACCGUGUACGUACAAGCAGUGGGAGCACCCUUCGGGGUGUGACUGCGUACCUUUUGUAUAAUGGGUCAGCGACUUAUAUUCUGUAGCAAGGUUAACCGAAUAGGGGAGCCGGAGGGAAACCGAGUCUUAAUUGGGCGUUAAGUUGCAGGGUAUAGACCCGAAACCCGGUGAUCUAGCCAUGGGCAGGUUGAAGGUUGGGUAACACUAACUGGAGGACCGAACCGACUAAUGUUGAAAAAUUAGCGGAUGACCUGUGGCUGGGGGUGAAAGGCCAAUCAAACCGGGAGAUAGCUGGUUCUC
RNAcentral lists this ribosomal RNA (823 nucleotides) under Salmonella enterica subsp. enterica serovar Indiana. Its description in RNAcentral is "partial 23S ribosomal RNA". It matches the Rfam family "Bacterial large subunit ribosomal RNA", at positions 1 to 857 of the family's 2925-position model. The record is from RNAcentral. Lineage: Bacteria; Pseudomonadati; Pseudomonadota; Gammaproteobacteria; Enterobacterales; Enterobacteriaceae.